CAAAGGCUUGGUCCUGACUUUACUAUCAUUUCUAACUGAACUUACACAUGCAAGUAUCCGCCCCCCUGUGAGGAUGCCCUUAACCUCCCCCCACGGAGAUAAGGAGCCGGCAUCAGGCACACACACAUUGUAGCCCAAAACGCCUUGCUUAGCCACCCCCCCAAGGGAAUUCAGCAGUGAUAAAUUUUAAGCAAUAAGCGAAAGCUUGACUUAGUUAAUGUUAAGAGGGCCGGUAAAACUCGUGCCAGCCACCGCGGUUAUACGAGAGGCCCCAAUUGAUAGACAUCGGCGUAAAGCGUGAUUACAGGCUGCUGCUAUAAAUUAAAGCGGAAAUCUCUCUCGACCGUUAUACGUAUAUGAAAAGAUGAAAAUCAACCACGAAAGUAGCUUUAUACAAAACAGCCACCUUGAACUCACGACAGCUAAGACACAAACUGGGAUUAGAUACCCCACUAUGCUUAGCUAUAAACCUUGAUAAUAAAAUACAAAUAUUAUCCGCCAGGGGACUACGAGCGUUAGCUUAAAACCCAAAGGACUUGGCGGUGCCCCAGACCCACCUAGAGGAGCCUGUUCUAGAACCGAUAAUCCUCGUUAAACCUCACCACUCCUUGUUAAUCCCGCCUAUAUACCGCCGUCGUCAGCUUACCCUGUGAAGGGCUAAUAGUAAGCAGAAAGAACUCACUUAAAAACGUCAGGUCGAGGUGUAGCGUAUGGAGUGGAAAGAAAUGGGCUACAUUUUCUAACUACAGAAUACUACGGAUGAUUCUAUGAAACAUAGAAUCUUUGAAGGUGGAUUUAGCAGUAAAAAGAAAGCAGAGAGUUCUUUUGAAGCCGGCUCUGAGGCGCGCACACACCGCCCGUCACUCUCCUCAAAUUGGACAAACCCUAUAAAUAAAAAAACACCCUUAACAAGAGGAGGCAAGUCGUAACAUGGUAAGUGUACCGGAAGGUGCACUUGGAUCA
This 963-nucleotide non-coding RNA is filed under the name Amia calva (bowfin). RNAcentral describes it as "12S ribosomal RNA". It matches the Rfam family "Bacterial small subunit ribosomal RNA". Lineage: Eukaryota; Metazoa; Chordata; Actinopteri; Amiiformes; Amiidae. The record is from RNAcentral.